GACGAACGCUGGCGGCGUGCUUAACACAUGCAAGUCGAACGGAAAGGCCCUGCUUUUGUGGGGUGCUCGAGUGGCGAACGGGUGAGUAACACGUGAGUAACCUGCCCUUGACUUUGGGAUAACUUCAGGAAACUGGGGCUAAUACCGGAUAGGAGCUCCUGCUGCAUGGUGGGGGUUGGAAAGUUUCGGCGGUUGGGGAUGGACUCGCGGCUUAUCAGCUUGUUGGUGGGGUAGUGGCUUACCAAGGCUUUGACGGGUAGCCGGCCUGAGAGGGUGACCGGCGACAUUGGGACUGAGAUACGGACCAGACUGCUACGGGAGGCAGCAGUGGGAAGUAUUGCACAGUGGGCGGAAGCCUGAUGCAGAGGCGCCGCGUGCGGAAUGACGGCCUUCGGGUUGUAAACCGCUUUCGCCUGUGACGAAGCGUGAGUGACGGUAAUGGGUAAAGAAGCACCGGCUAACUACGUG
Molecule: ribosomal RNA, 468 nt
Filed under: uncultured bacterium
Lineage: Bacteria
Description: partial 16S ribosomal RNA
Rfam family: Bacterial small subunit ribosomal RNA
Source: RNAcentral